Molecule: ribosomal RNA, 385 nt
Filed under: uncultured bacterium
Lineage: Bacteria
Description: bacterial SSU rRNA
Rfam family: Bacterial small subunit ribosomal RNA
Source: RNAcentral
AUUGAACGCUGGCGGCAGGCUUAACACAUGCAAGUCGAGCGGGGAGAUGUAGCUUGCUACAUUUCCUAGCGGCGGACGGGUGAGUAAUGCUUAGGAAUCUGCCUAUUAGUGGGGGACAACAUUCCGAAAGGGAUGCUAAUACCGCAUACGCCCUACGGGGGAAAGCAGGGAUCUUCGGACCUUGCGCUAAUAGAUGAGCCUAAGUCAGAUUAGCUAGUUGGUGGGGUAAAGGCCUACCAAGACGACGAUCUGUAGCGGGUCUGAGAGGAUGAUCCGCCACACUGGGACUGAGACACGGCCCAGACUCCUACGGGAGGCAGCAGUGGGGAAUUUUGGACAAUGGGCGCAAGCCUGAUCCAGCCAUGCCGCGUGAGUGAAGAAGGCC